RNAcentral lists this transfer-messenger RNA (391 nucleotides) under Actinomyces sp. It matches the Rfam family "transfer-messenger RNA". From Rfam's summary of the family: Bacterial tmRNA, also known as 10Sa RNA or SsrA, is named for its dual tRNA and mRNA-like properties. Its role is to liberate the mRNA from a stalled ribosome. The record is from RNAcentral. Lineage: Bacteria; Bacillati; Actinomycetota; Actinomycetes; Actinomycetales; Actinomycetaceae.
GGGGCUGAUCGGUUUCGACGUCGGGACCAGGAUGCCGAGAUGUGCGACCGGAGUUGCUCAGACUCCUUAAACGGGGCACCACAAGAGACGCCAACACGGACGAUCUCGCUCUCGCCGCCUGAUCUCGAUCAGGUGAACGAGGGUCACUGCGACCCGUGAGGGUACGCGGGGCCUGACCACCGCAGCCCGGCACCAGAAGCGGUGGUGACGGCAGGGACAGACCGCUGACGGCAGGGAAAGACCGCUGACACCGGGGAAAGACCCGGCGGCCGGGCCUCCGGGCCCACCCGACCCGGCGGGGCGGCAGCCGCGAGCCGCAGCCACGGGAAUGGUCGUAGCGCAUCCGGUGACCACCCGACGGACGAGGGUUCGAUUCCCUCCAGCUCCACGA